Molecule: ribosomal RNA, 254 nt
Filed under: uncultured bacterium
Lineage: Bacteria
Description: partial 16S ribosomal RNA
Rfam family: Bacterial small subunit ribosomal RNA
Source: RNAcentral
UACGUAGGGUCCGAGCGUUGUCCGGAAUUAUUGGGCGUAAAGGGCUCGUAGGCGGUUUGUCGCGUCGGGAGUGAAAACUCACAGCUCAACUGUGGGCGUGCGGGCGAUACGGGCAGACUAGAGUACUGCAGGGGAGACUGGAAUUCCUGGUGUAGCGGUGGAAUGCGCAGAUAUCAGGAGGAACACCGGUGGCGAAGGCGGGUCUCUGGGCAGUAACUGACGCUGAGGAGCGAAAGCGUGGGGGAGCGAACAGG